Molecule: ribosomal RNA, 489 nt
Filed under: uncultured bacterium
Lineage: Bacteria
Description: bacterial SSU rRNA
Rfam family: Bacterial small subunit ribosomal RNA
Source: RNAcentral
GGCUCAGAACGAACGCUGGCGGCGCGUCUUAAGCAUGCAAGUCGAACGGCAAGAGGUAGCAAUACCUCCUAGAGUGGCGGACUGGUGAGUAACACGUGGGUGACAUACCCUUCAGAUGGGGAUAGCUAUUAGAAAUAGUAGAUAAUACCGAAUACGAGCACAGGGGUUAGAGAUCUGUGAGGAAAAGGAGCUAAGGCUCCGCUGAAGGAAUGGCCUGCGGCCCAUUAGCUAGUUGGUGAGGUAAGAGCCCCACCAAGGCGAUGAUGGGUAUCCGGCCUUAGAGGGUGAACGGACACAUUGGGACUGAGAUACGGCCCAGACUCCUACGGGAGGCAGCAGUGGGGAAUAUUGGGCAAUGGGCGCAAAGCCUGACCCAGCAACGCCGCGUGAAGGAAGAAGGCUUUCGGGUUGUAAACUUCUUUUAUGAGGGACGAAGAACGUGACGGUACCUCAUGAAUAAGCCACGGCUAACUACGUGCCAGCAGCCGC